AUUGAACGCUGGCGGCAUGCCUUACACAUGCAAGUCGAACGGCAGCACGGGUGCUUGCACCUGGUGGCGAGUGGCGAACGGGUGAGUAAUACAUCGGAACGUACCUUAUCGUGGGGGAUAACGCAGCGAAAGCUGUGCUAAUACCGCAUACGCCCUGAGGGGGAAAGCGGGGGAUCGAAAGACCUCGCGCGAUUAGAGCGGCCGAUGCCUGAUUAGCUUGUUGGUGGGGUAAAAGCCCACCAAGGCGACGAUCAGUAGCUGGUCUGAGAGGACGAUCAGCCACACUGGGACUGAGACACGGCCCAGACUCCUACGGGAGGCAGCAGUGGGGAAUUUUGGACAAUGGGGGAAACCCUGAUCCAGCCAUGCCGCGUGAGUGAAGAAGGUCUUCGGGUUGUAAACUGCUUUUGUACGGAACGAAAAGGUUUCUCUUAAUACGAGGAGCUCAUGACGGUACCGUAAGAAUAAGCACCGGCUAACUACGUG
RNAcentral lists this ribosomal RNA (486 nucleotides) under uncultured bacterium. RNAcentral's name for it is "bacterial SSU rRNA". It matches the Rfam family "Bacterial small subunit ribosomal RNA", at positions 30 to 507 of the family's 1533-position model. The record is from RNAcentral.